RNAcentral lists this ribosomal RNA (497 nucleotides) under uncultured bacterium. Its description in RNAcentral is "partial 16S ribosomal RNA". It matches the Rfam family "Bacterial small subunit ribosomal RNA", at positions 28 to 507 of the family's 1533-position model. The record is from RNAcentral.
GAUGAACGCUGGCGGCGUGCCUAAUACAUGCAAGUCGAGCGAACAGACGAGGAGCUUGCUCCUCUGACGUUAGCGGCGGACGGGUGAGUAACACGUGGAUAACCUACCUAUAAGGCUGGGAUAACUUCGGGAAACCGGAGCUAAUACCGGAUAAUAUAUUGAACCGCAUGGUUCAAUAGUGAAAGACGGUUUUGCUGUCACUUAUAGAUGGAUCCGCGCCGCAUUAGCUAGUUGGUAAGGUAACAGCUUACCAAGGCAACGAUGCGUAGCCGACCUGAGAGGGUGAUCGGCCACACUGGAACUGAGACACGGUCCAGACUCCUACGGGAGGCAGCAGUAGGGAAUCUUCCGCAAUGGGCGAAAGCCUGACGGAGCAACGCCGCGUGAGUGAUGAAGGUCUUCGGAUCGUAAAACUCUGUUAUUAGGGAAGAACAAAUGUGUAAGUAACUAUGCACGUCUUGACGGUACCUAAUCAGAAAGCCACGGCUAACUACGUG